Molecule: long non-coding RNA, 1132 nt
Filed under: Homo sapiens (human)
Lineage: Eukaryota; Metazoa; Chordata; Mammalia; Primates; Hominidae
Description: long non-coding RNA NONHSAT216579.1
Source: RNAcentral
GCUUGCCCAGCCCUCGAGUCUCAGAGAAUGGAGCCCUUGCUGCCCUUUCUGCCUGAGCACUCACAGCUCAUUAAGAAGUGGAAGCACACGUCUGCAAUCACCGUGUAAUUACCUUGCUUCCUAAUUGGCAGCAGACAAGGCCGGCAGGCCCAACUGCAGCAGUGGACACCCUGCCAUCAGAAUCUGCUGGGGAGCUUUUCCAGAGUGUGGGUGUCAGUCCCACCCUGGCCUACUGGAUCGGAACCCAAAACCAAAAGCCCUGCCUCAGCGAGCAAGUUCAAAGUCAUUGGCCCAAAGGAAAAACUCCAAGUCCUUUGUUGGUCAUUCAGGGUGGUCAUGAGGGCUGACUGAGGAACAGGCUGUGCACACGCAGCUCAGGACCUUGGGAGAGCAUCAGGCCUGCCAACAACCCCAUGGUACAACAAGAAAAUGGCUGUGCUGGAGGUAGCUCAGGAAUCUGCUCCUCCCUCCAGCACCAUGGCAACAGGCCUCUGAGAACUGCUGAUCUGACGGCCUGGACGCCGGAAAUCUGAGAUGAAGGUGCCGGCAGGGCCCUGCCCGCUCUGAAGUCUCUGGGGGAAGCUUCUUUGCCUCUUCCAGCUUCUGGUGGCUCCACGCACUGCUGGGCUCGUGGCUGCCUCCCUCUGGUCUCUGCCCCGGUCUGCACGUGGCCUUCCCUGCGUGUUUCUGUGUCCUUGCUGCUGCUUAGAAGCACAGCAGCCAUUGGAUUAGGACCCACUCUCAUCCAGCAUGGCCUCAUCUUAACUCAUUACGUCUACAAAAUCUCCAUUUCCAAAUAAGGUCCCAUUCUGGGGUCCUGAGUGGACACGGCGGGGACACCAUCAACCCAUCCUAAGGCCUUCUUGGGCAGCCUCAGGGGGAAGCCGGACCAGCCUUAAGUGAAAGUGGAGGGUUCCAAGGAUCCUACAAAGGGGCCCUGACCCAGUCGGUGGGCAGCAGGGGACAGAGUGGACGUGGAACUUGUAGACAGACAGAACGAUGCACAGGACUCACCCCCACCACCAGAGGUCUGUGUGCAGAGACGACAGAGGGCAGCGUCCCUCCCACUGCCCAUCACCCAUGGAGUGUGGAAAAUCCCGGUCAAGACAGCAGCCCGGGCCGUGAAAUCGAA